Long non-coding RNA from Oncorhynchus tshawytscha (Chinook salmon), 4028 nucleotides. The record is from Ensembl. Lineage: Eukaryota; Metazoa; Chordata; Actinopteri; Salmoniformes; Salmonidae.
GGAGAAUCUCAAUUUAAAUAACUUUUUAAUCUUGGACUAGGCUAAAUGAAUGAAUCUGUGUAUGAACAGCUGGCCCUAAGCUUUGAUCUCUGCAUAUCCUUCUCACAACACUAAAAUAAGUCAUUCUUGGCUCAUUCUACAGUACAUCAAUGUUCUCACAGUGAGUCUUGUUCUUAGGAAAGACAUGGUAACAUUCCAAGACCUAUGUGUUUGGGAAAUGUUUUAUUUUGGUCAAAUAAAGUACAUGUUUAGCAGUUGUUAUUGCAGGUGUAGAGAAAUGCUUGUGCAUGUACAAAGUACAGUGAAAUGCUUAACUUGCAAGCCAACAUUGCAGUAUUCAAUAUCAAAAUAUUAUAACAAAAUACAAUGUAAAAAAAUACAAAUGAGGAUACAAUGUGUGAUGAAUUUUCCUAAUUGUCUUUAGUCAUGACCAUAAACAGUAAACCAUAUUCUUCUGCUGCUGCUACGGGUAUUGUGUGAGACAUUGUCUUCACAGGUCAAGGCCUCAAAUAAUUAGCCAAAUUGUUUAACCUGAGCAUGACCCCAAAACUAAGGACUUAUUAGCCACCCCUACUCUGUUGUUUAUUAUAAUGUUGUCAUGGAGGACUGAUUGGGCUCAUUGAUUUGAGUUGAAAACUAAAUGCUGCUCUCAUGGAAAGGCAUGCUUUCAGCCCUACUGAAACGUUCUAUUUACUUGUGAAAAAUGAAUUCCAUAAGCUGCAAUUUGCUAUUGGCCUUUUGUUUACCUUUUUGUUGGUGACACUUUGAUAUCUUGAUAAUAUGCAGCUGUUUAACGGGCAAAUUCACAGAUGAAACAAUAACAAAACGGACACCCUGCCUCUGUUUUGCUUAUAUUUUGGAUUCUCAUGGAGUGUGACAGUUGAACUAAGCUCACAAGGCAUUUAUAAGUUAUAUUCUUCAAGAAUCAAUGGAUACAUAAAUAUAUAAUUUAUAAAUCCAAAAAUGGAUGUAUUUCCACACACUGUAUAUAGAUUUUUUUCUAUUGUGUUAUUGGCUAUAGGUUUGUUUAUUCCAUGUGUAACUCUGUGUUGUUGCUUGUGUCGCACUGCUUUGCUUUAUCUUGUUCAGGUCGCAGUUGUAAAUGAGAACUUGUUCGCAACUGGCCUCCCUGGUUAAAUAAAGGUUAAAUAAAAAAUAAAUACAUAAAAAACUACAGAUUGCCACUUUAAGUCUAUCAAAAGUGUGCAAGUUUGAGCAUGUGUCCAUUAGGCCUAUAAAUAUGAUUUUUUAUCAGCCUGAAUUAGAUUGAGCAACAAAACCCCUACUUCCAUUCCAUAGGCUUGGAUGCACACUCUGCAGCUGUUGCAAGAACACAUUUUUCACUGGUUGUCCACUGGUUUCAAAAACAAUGAUUGAUUAGCAUCUUAAAAUGCUUGAAUUCAACCAUUAUUGGGUUGAAAUACACACUUCGAUUUGUGAACCACCAUCCACAACAACCAUAAUCCGUAAGGCGCAAAUAGCUAAAUGAGAGAGCAGCAGUGUGAUUCACAUUAAUGCGCCAUGUAGGUAUCAAUAAUAAGUGAUAUCCGUAUCACCGUAGACGACACCACUGAUGUCAUCCUUACCUACAAGCGUUUAUUCAAGUUGGAUAAUCUUUGGAUAUCGACAGCAGUCGCACCAUUGGAACACAUAGCUUGGACUGUAGCCUACAAAAGCCUAUUCCUGCUCUUUUCCUGCCAUCCAUCAAACACAUUUGGUGUGUCAUCAUAGUGGUCUCUGACUUAUCAUCAACGUCAUCAUCUUGUUUUUCAAAAGUAUCUGUAAUCUGAUUACAAUAUUUUAGCUGGUAACGUAAUGUAUUAUAUAUAUAUAUUUUUUGUAAUCCGUUACUCCACAACCCUGCCUAUUGUGCUGGGUUAUUGGUCCUGGGUAAAUGAGAUAUGACCCAGCUGGUCAGAUCAGAAGACUGGAGAUGUAGUUUAGUAGGGGCUUGGCUUUCAGAUAGUUACCAUAAGAGGUAUGUCAUUCCUGUUCAUCAAAUCCAAUCAAAUUUUAUUUGUGACAUGUGCUGAAUACAACAUGUGUAGACCUUGCCGUGAAAUGCAAAUUUACAAGCCCUUAAACCAACAGUGCAGUUUACGAAAGAGUUAAGAAGUAAAUAAAUAAACUAAAGUAAAAAAUAUUACAAAGUUACACAAUAAAAUAACAAUAAUGAGGGUAUAUACAGGGAGUAGAGGUACCAUGUCAAUGUGCAGGAGUACAGGUUAGUCGAGGUAAUUUGUACAUGUAGGUAGAGGUGAAGUGACUAUGCAUCGAUUAUAAACAGUGGGUAGUACAAGUGUAAAAAACAAAUGGUGGGGAGGGGUGUCACUGUAAAUAAUUUGUUUAAAUGUUCAGCAGUCUUACAGCUUGGGGGUAGAAGCUGUUAAGGAGACUUUUGGUCCUAGACUUGGUGCUCCAGGACCGCUUGCCGUGCGGUAGAAAACAGUCUAUGACUUGAGAAAACAGUCUAUGACUUGGGUGACUGGAGUCUUUGAAAAUUUUUAGGGCUUUCCUCUGACACCGCCUAGUAUAUAGGACCUGGAUGGCAGGAAACGUGGCCCCAGUGAUGUACUUGGCCGUACGCACUACACUCUGUAGCGCCUUACGGUCAGAUGCCGAGCAGUUACAAUAGCAGGCGGUGAUGAAACCAGUGCUCUCGAUUGUGCAGCUGUAGAACUUUUUGAGGAUCUGAGGAUCCAUGCCCAAUCUGUUCCGUCUCCUGAGGGGGAAGAGGUGUUGUUGUGCCCACUUCAUGACUGACUUGGUGUGUUUGGACCAUGAUAGUUUGUUGGAGAUGUGGACACCAAGGAACUUGAAACUCUCGACCCGCUGCACUACAGCCCCGUCGAUGAUAAUGGGGGCCUGUUCGGCCCGCCUUUUCCUGUAGUCCACGAUCAGCUCCUUGCUCACAUUGAGGGAGAGGUUGUUGUCCUAGCACCACAUGGCCAGGUCUCUGACCUCCUCCCGAUAGGCUGUCUCAUCGUUGUCGCUGAUUAGGCCUACCACUGUUGUGCCGUCAGGAAACUUAAUGAUGGUGUUGGAGUUGUGUUUGGUUACGCAGUCGUGGGUGAACAGGGAAUACAGGAGGGGACUAAGCACAUACAACUGAGGGGCCCCAGUGUUGAGGAUCAGCGUAGCAGACAUGUUGUUGCCUACCCUUACCACCUGGGGGUGGCCCGUCAGGAAGUCGAGGAUCCAGUUGCAGAGGGAGGUGUUUAGUCCCAGGUUCCUUAGCUUAGUGAUUGGCUUUGUGGGCACUAUGGUGUUGAACGCUGAGCUGUACUCAAUGAACAGCAUUCUCACAUAGGUGUUCCUUUUGUCCAGAUGGGAAAGGGCAGUGUGGAGUGCGAUUGUGGAUCUGUUGGGGCGGUAUGUGGAUUGGAUUGGGUCUAGGGUAUCAGGGAGGAUGCUGUUGAUGUGAGCCAUGACCAGCCUUUCAAAGCACUUCAUGGCUACCGACGUGAGUGCUACGGGUGGUAAUCAUUUAGGCAGGUUACUUUCACUUCCUUGGGAACUUGGAUAACUUGGAGUUGAAAAUGUCAGUGAAGACACUUGCCAGUUGGUCUUUGCAUGCUUUGAGUACACAACCUGGUAAUCCAUCUGACCCCAGGGCUUUGUGAAUGUUGACCUGUUUAAAGGUCUUGCUCACAUCGCCUUCCGAGAGCAUUAUCACACAGUCCAGAACAGCUGGUGCUCUCAUGCAUGCUUCAGCGUUGCUUGUCUCGAAGUGAGCAUAAAAGGCAUUUAGCUCAUCUGGUAGGCUCGCAAAAAUAGGCAGUUUGCGGCUGUGUUUCCCUUUGUAGUUCGUAAUAGUUUUCAAGCCUUGCCACAUCCAACGAGCGUCUGAGCCGGUGUAGAAGGAUGUCAUCGUUCAGCCAUGACUCUGUGAAACAUAGGAUAUUAAUUUUUAAUGUCCUGUUGGAAGUAUAAUCUUGAUUAUAGGUCAUCCAUUUUAUUUUCCAAUGAUUGCACAUUGGCUAAUAGAACGGAUGGCAGUGGGAGUUUACUCACUCACCUACGAAUUC